Long non-coding RNA from Pecten maximus, 658 nucleotides. RefSeq lists it as uncharacterized. The record is from RefSeq and is a predicted model, not a curated record. The transcript is spliced from 2 exons. NCBI's taxonomy places the organism in Eukaryota, Metazoa, Mollusca, Bivalvia, Pectinida, Pectinidae.
GGUAUUUCGUUCCGAUAUUUAUUGGAAGAAUAUUUCGGACAUUAUACUGACCAUUGUACAGGUAAAAGUAUUCACACACAGUCACUGACCGCCAUACCGGUAAGACGUGUGUCAUUUUUGAGGCCAUUACCAGACAUAGAGUCGCAAAGACCACCAAUUAACGGGAUGUCUGGUUUUUACGUUGGGACAUGGACCCAAACAUACACGGCCUGAGGUGGAUGGAUUUGUGGGGAAGACAACUGACGGUGGAUUAUGUCAGUUCCACAUAGAGGAGCACUCGAGGGACCUACUGUACGAUAGGUGCAGCAAUGGCACAUAGAGGUCAGAGUGGCUCGCUGGAUACAGGCUGCGGCUCCAGCAGUGUAUCAUCAUCAGAUGAUAUAGGGUUUGGGAACGCCCUUAUUUGGUUAAUCGAAACCAUGGACUGGUCAAACGACCACGUUUCGUCAUUGUGUCAUAUCCUAUGAUGGCCAUAGGGAGGAGACACCAUUUGUGAAGGCCAGGAGACAACAUUUGUUAGGCCAGGAGAACUUUUCUGAGAUAUUUAUAUAUAUGCAGUGUAAAUACCAUUUGAGUGAGUGAAAGAGUUGUGUGUGUAAUGGGUAGAGUGUAUAUUGUGUAUAUUUGUAGUAAAUAAAUUGUAAAUAUUGUAAGUGAU